UACCAGCACCCCGAGUGGUCGGGACGUUUUAUUGGGCCUAAAGCAUCCGUAGCCGGUUCUACAAGUCUUCCGUUAAAUCCAGCUGCUUAACAGAUGGGCUGCGGAAGAUACUAUGGAGCUAGGAGGCGGGAGAGGCAAGCGGUACUCGAUGGGUAGGGGUAAAAAUCCGUUGAUCCAUUGAAGACCACCAGUGGCGAAGGCGGCUUGCCAGAACGCGCUCGACGGUGAGGGAUGAAAGCUGGGGGGAGCAAACCGG
Molecule: ribosomal RNA, 256 nt
Filed under: uncultured bacterium
Lineage: Bacteria
Description: partial 16S ribosomal RNA
Rfam family: Archaeal small subunit ribosomal RNA
Source: RNAcentral